Molecule: ribosomal RNA, 447 nt
Filed under: uncultured bacterium
Lineage: Bacteria
Description: partial 16S ribosomal RNA
Rfam family: Bacterial small subunit ribosomal RNA
Source: RNAcentral
UCCAGACUCCUACGGGAGGCAGCAGUGGGGGAUAUUGCACAAUGGGGGGAACCCUGAUGCAGCGACGCCGCGUGGGUGAAGGAGCGUUUCGGCGCGUAAAGCCCUAUCGGCAGGGAAGAAGGAGGACGGUACCUGACUAAGAAGCCCCGGCUAACUACGUGCCAGCAGCCGCGGUAAUACGUAGGGGGCAAGCGUUAUCCGGAUUUACUGGGUGUAAAGGGGGCGCAGACGGCAGCGCAAGCCAGGAGUGAAAGCCCGGGGCCCAACCCCGGGACUGCAUUGGAAACUGUCAGGCUAGAGUGUCGGAGAGGCAAGUGGAAUUCCUAGUGUAGCGGUGAAAUGCGUAGAUAUCAGGAGGAACACCGGCGGCGAAGGCGGCUUACUGGACGGCAACUGACGUUGAGGCCCGAAAGCGCGGGGAGCGAACAGGAUUAGAUACCCCGGUAA